CCUACGGGACGCAGCAGUGGGGAAUAUUGCACAAUGGGGGAAACCCUGAUGCAGCGACGCCGCGUGAGCGAUGAAGUAUUUCGGUAUGUAAAGCUCUAUCAGUAGGGAAGAAAAUGACGGUACCUGACUAGGAAGCUCCGGCUAACUACGUGCCAGCAGCCGCGGUAAUACGUAGGGGGCAAGCGUUAUCCGGAUUUACUGGGUGUAAAGGGGGCGCAGACGGCGAUGCAAGCCAGGAGUGAAAGCCCGGGGCCCAACCCCGGGACUGCUCUUGGAACUGCGUGGCUGGAGUGCAGGAGGGGCAG
Molecule: ribosomal RNA, 305 nt
Filed under: uncultured bacterium
Lineage: Bacteria
Description: bacterial SSU rRNA
Rfam family: Bacterial small subunit ribosomal RNA
Source: RNAcentral